Long non-coding RNA from Pseudopipra pipra, 480 nucleotides. RefSeq lists it as uncharacterized. Lineage: Eukaryota; Metazoa; Chordata; Aves; Passeriformes; Pipridae. The record is from RefSeq and is a predicted model, not a curated record. The transcript is spliced from 2 exons.
CACUGGCAUUCCCGCGAGCCAUCGUGUACCUUUUAAAUGCUGUUGUAGUAAUGGUGAUGAAAAUAAAACACAGUCAGAUCCUGCACUUUCAUGGCUGGAGGCAGCAAUCAGAGAAUCGUCAUUUUGCCAGGGCUGACUUCAUUUGCUCUUUGGCAAACCUGUGAAGCAAAUACGAAAUCCAGGGUCUCAACAGCAAUUUAAUUUGAAGCCUCAGAGUGAGGGAAAGCCAGCUACUGAUGUCUGUAGGCUGGUUGAAUGUGUGCUGGCAGAGGGCUGGACUCAGAAACUGCGCUGGUAACUGCUUCAAAGAAGUGGCUGCUCAAUCCUCAGACGGUCUGAGCAUUUUCUUUCAGCAGGUGACACAAAAAGUGAAGCAGAAGUCUAGAAAUGCAGAUGCUGUACCUGAAAGUUACGACACCAACUUGGUAUAAACAAACAACAAUACACAUUCUGCUGCAGUGAUUUAAAAAGCCACAAGAA